AACUGGAAGAUGAUCAGGAAAGACGGGGUGUUGUCCCAUCUUUGCUCUUAGACUGGCGUCCAUUCCUGUAAAGAAGCAGGUGCCUCUGUGAUUAAUUCCUAAUGCAGUUUUGAUUCAGAUUUAUUGUUUGACUUGUUAAAGAUGUCAUCAAGCCUUACAGAGGAACAAAAGAGAAGAAUUGAAGAGAACCGCCAGAAGGCUUUGGCUAGGAGAGCAGAGAGGCUAGCAGCCCAGAGAGGUGGGCAGGUGGGGAUCGCUGGACCUCAGGUGAAACAACAGAGUCCAGGCAAUCAGGGAAACUUGAAGGAAGAAAACAAUCAUGUCAGGUUCAUUAGCCAGCACCAACAGAAUCCAAACAGUCCUGUGGAGCAGAAGAGCUAUCUUCAGAAAGAUUAUAAUCAUUACACUGCAAACCAACAGAUGGCUGGUUCACAUGGAGAGCAACAAAAGAAUUGUUCAGAGGACUUGGAACAAGCAAGUGGCAUUAAGCAGUUCCCUACAACGAUCCCAAAUUCUCUGAGUUAUUCCCAUAAACAUUACUUGGAUGCUGGUGGUCAGGAACAUGGACAACAAGCUUUAAUUAAUCUUCAUACAUUCCAGCAGCCCAAAUGCUACCCAGCUUUCAAAAACCCUACAGAACCAUCUCAUCCUAGAUUAAUUGAUAACGGGCACCCUGACGGUAGUAAAGAUUUACAAAGUCAGAACAAAUUUGCCAUAAAAUAUGUUUCAGCACCAAGCAGCACCACCCCGAGUGAUUCAGAAAUGCUGAUAAACACAAGCAGACCAAUGGAAAGAGAAGGGGGAGGUGGUGCCUCUCAGGCCAGUGGUAGGAUGCAGAAGCUGACCAGCUCUACUGGUGCAGGCUCUACCUUUGAAGCUGUCUCUUGCAAGAAAGCAAGUAGUGUUACAAAAGGAAGAUGUGUGAAAUAUGGGGAAGACCGAUUCCAGGUUGAAAUAGGGUAUAAUGCUGAACUCAUUGCUGUGUUUAAGAAGAUACCAAGCAAAAGCUAUGAUCCUGCUAUGAAAAAAUGGAAUUUCAGCCUGGAAGAUUAUAGCAGUUUCAUGGAAGCAGCAAACCAACUUUCGUCAGUAAUUCUGGCACCACUGGAAGGAGAAAAUGCAGUUUGCUUGGCAUCAGGCUCUCAUUUUGUUGGCAGUAGGGUUGAUGUGAAAUCCCUCUUGAAGAUGUGUCGGAACUGGAAGAAACCCUCAGCCCUCGUCAAAGGGAAGUGCGUGCUGAUCUCUCGCUUGCGGUUUGAGGUUGAUAUUGGGUAUUCUGCAGAAGUGAUUGGAGUGUUCAAACAGAUGGAGUCCAGAAAUUAUGAUAUGAACACCAGGAAGUGGAAUUUCCUGCUGCUGGACUAUCCCAAACUAAUGGAAGUGUUACAGAGCCUUGCAUCAGUAGAAGUGGAGCCACUGCCUGAGGCAGUAAUACAAACCUUUGCUGCUCAAAUACAGAGAUCUACUUCACAGACAGACAUUCCUGAUGCUGACCUUUCCGCAGUGGACUCCAAAAUUGUGAUGAGCCUCAUGCCCUUUCAGCGGGAAGGUGUGAAUUUUGCAAUUUUAAGAAAUGGACGUUUACUUCUUGCGGAUGACAUGGGCUUGGGCAAGACCAUCCAGGCGAUCUGCAUUGCUGCGUAUUACCGAAAGGAAUGGCCCUUGCUGGUGGUGACUCCUUCUUCUGUGAGGUUUACAUGGGCAGAGGCAUUUCACAGGUGGCUUCCAUCCUUGAGUCCAGGUAGCACCAAUGUCAUAGUGACUGGCAAAGACAACCUAACAGCAAGCUUGAUCAACAUCGUCAGCUUUGACCUCCUCAGCAAGAUGGACAAGCAACUUAAGAGCACUUUCCAAGUAGUUAUUAUUGAUGAAUCUCAUUUCCUAAAGAACAUAAAAACUGCGCGAUGCCGAGCUGCCAUGCCUCUACUCAAGGCUGCCAGGAGAGUGAUCUUGCUUUCGGGAACCCCUGCCAUGUCGCGGCCUGCAGAGCUCUACACGCAGAUCGCUGCUGUCCAGCCAGCCUUCUUCCCACAGUUCCACUCCUUUGGGCUACGCUACUGUGAUGCCAGGAAGAUGCCAUGGGGUUGGGACUACUCUGGAUCAUCCAACUUAACUGAACUGAAAAUUUUGCUGGAAGAGUCCAUCAUGAUCCGACGUCUGAAAUCAGAUGUGCUUUCCCAGCUUCCAGCAAAGCAACGCAAAAUGGUUGUGGUGGCUCCUGAAGGCAUUAGUGCAAAGACCAAAGCUGUCUUGGCAGCUGAAGCAAAGAAGAUGGCCAAAGGAUAUGAAAGUAAACAACAGGAGAAGGAAGCGCUUCUCCUUUUCUACAGCAGAACGGCCGAAGCUAAAAUCCACUCAGUCGUAGAAUACAUCCUGGAGUUACUGGAAAGUGGGAAUGAUAAAUUCCUGGUGUUUGCUCAUCACAAGAUAGUGCUGGAUGCAAUAGUUGCAGAGCUGGAGAAGAGACAUGUUGAAUACAUUCGCAUUGAUGGCUCCACACCUUCAGCUGAGCGGCAGUCUCUGUGCCAGAAGUUCCAGUUCUCAGAGAAGCAGGUUGUGGCCGUCCUGUCCCUCACUGCCGCAAACAUGGGCCUGACAUUGUCUGCUGCGGACCUGGUGGUGUUUGCAGAGCUCUUCUGGAACCCGGGGGUUUUGAUCCAAGCAGAAGAUCGGGCACAUCGAAUUGGACAGACCAGCUCUGUUAAUGUUCACUACCUGGUGGCUAAAGGCACAGCAGAUGACUACUUAUGGUAGGAAGUGAGAAAGACACUUUGGUUCUCCUGCCACCUGGUUUCACUGUUUGAUACAUAUGUGAUGUAAGGUGCUUAAUGUUAGUGCUGAUUUCCACAGUCGGUGAGGGGAGGAGCAAUAACUGGCAAUCAGGGCUGCUGUGAGCUGGUGACAUGGCCUGGCCACAGUGGACAUAACUAAGUGGAUGAUGAGCAGGAGGAAUAAAAGUAGUUAUCUGACAAAGAAAGGGCUGUUGAGAGAAAAUCGGAGAGAGGUGAUGCAUCUGAAACCUUCACAGCCUCUGUAUAAGGAGAAGGAAUUGUCUUAGAUACAGCCCAGAACAUUUGUGUGCUGGGGUACUGUAAAGUGCCGAGUACUUGCAAGCAAAGUCAACAGACACUGGAGAUGGUUCAAUGUAUUGUGCAUCAGGUCUGAGGAGCAAUCUGGCUGCUGAGUGCUUGGACAGGGAGCUGUGGAGGAGAACUGCACUGUUGCUUUCCUCUUGCUCUUCAGUGAGCCCUUUGGAUGGAUUAAAAAAGUGCUACUGACCCACCUCUGGAGAGUUGUGGUCUGAGCCUUUUUGGCUGCAGUGAGAGCUAUCAGUGGACACUGGUCCUUAGGGCUGGGGAAUCUGACAUCCUGGGGAAGGGGAGGAUCUGAAGAAUCCUUAGUGCUGCAAGGGAACUGACCUGCAAAUGAUGCAAAGAAAUUACCCACCAGCUGGUUCAUUUAAAGUCCAAAAUUACAUCUUUAUUACCUUGUUUAAAGGAACAAAUGAACUAAGUGAACUUGUGCAGUUCCCAGAAUAUCAUGAUGGCAAAUAAUUAUAACCCUACAAUGCAGGGAUCUGGAAACAGAUGCAUCGCCCACGUUUCAUGGAAAGUUAAUGACAGUAAUUCUGCCUUUAUUUGUGAAAUGCUGUCCGUUCAGUCAUUAAUGCUUAAUGGGAAGGAAAUAUGGCUCUUCAAAGAAGGACAGUGGCAUCCUUUUUAAAGGCGAGAAAAAGAACAAGAUGACAAGGCUAUUUGGUAAAUGCAUUUAUUGUGCUGUGGCCUUUGCUUCUUUCAAAGUGUCCAGUCUGCAGGUGCAGUUGGGACCUCUUGGGCCAGUGAUGGAUUCUUCCUCCUGCAGUACAUCGGGAGAUGACAUGCUGAUGUGUCUGUUGAUGGGGAUUACCAUUGCUUGCCUUGGAGACUGAACACAUAGGCUAUUGGGACUCCCUUUAGCUGCAUCUUCUUGUUCUGACUUCAUACCAUUGGCCAAUGAUUCAAGAGAAAAUCAAAGUGCUGGGGG
RNA transcript from Gymnogyps californianus (California condor), 4023 nucleotides. It is a transcript of the gene named SWI/SNF related, matrix associated, actin dependent regulator of chromatin, subfamily a like 1, with no coding region annotated. NCBI's taxonomy places the organism in Eukaryota, Metazoa, Chordata, Aves, Accipitriformes, Cathartidae. The transcript has 16 exons. The record is from RefSeq and is a predicted model, not a curated record.